RNAcentral lists this ribosomal RNA (506 nucleotides) under uncultured bacterium. RNAcentral's name for it is "bacterial SSU rRNA". It matches the Rfam family "Bacterial small subunit ribosomal RNA", at positions 9 to 526 of the family's 1533-position model. The record is from RNAcentral.
GAGUUUGAUCCUGGCUCAGGACGAACGCUGGCGGCGCGCCUAACACAUGCAAGUCGAACGAGAGAGAGGGAGCUUGCUUCCUCAAUCGAGUGGCGAACGGGUGAGUAACGCGUGAGGAACCUGCCUCAAAGAGGGGGACAACAGUUGGAAACGACUGCUAAUACCGCAUAAGCCCACGGCUCGGCAUCGAGCAGAGGGAAAAGGAGUAAUCCGCUUUGAGAUGGCCUCGCGUCCGAUUAGCUAGUUGGUGAGGUAACGGCCCACCAAGGCAACGAUCGGUAGCCGGACUGAGAGGUUGAACGGCCACAUUGGGACUGAGACACGGCCCAGACUCCUACGGGAGGCAGCAGUGGGGAAUAUUGCACAAUGGGGGAAACCCUGAUGCAGCAACGCCGCGUGAGUGAAGAAGUAUUUCGGUAUGUAAAGCUCUAUCAGCAGGGAAGAAGAAAUGACGGUACCUGACUAAGAAGCACCGGCUAAAUACGUGCCAGCAGCCGCGGUAAUAC